GACGAACGCUGGCGGCGUGCUUAACACAUGCAAGUCGAACGGAAAGGCCCUGCUUUUGUUGCGUGCUCGAGUGGCGGACGGGUGAGUAACACGUGAGUAACCUUCCCUUUACUUUGGAAUAACUUCAGGAAACUCGGGCUCAUACCGGAUAGCCGCUCCUGCUGCAGGGUGGGGGUAGGAAAGUUUGGGCGGUUGGGGAUGGACGCGGGGCUUAUCAGCUUGUUGGUGGGGUAGUGGCUUACCAAGGCUUUGAGGGGUAGCCGGCCUGAGAGGGGGACCGGCCCAAUGGGGCGGGAGGUAGGGCCAAGAUCCGAAGGGGAGGCAGAGGGGGGAAAAAUGGAACAAGGGCGGAAGGCUGGUGGAAGCACGCCGGGGGGGGGAAUACCGGCUUCGGGGUGGAAAACGGCUUCAGCAGGUGAGAAGCUGGUGGUGACGGUAACUGGAAAAGAAGCACCGGCUAACUACGUG
RNAcentral lists this ribosomal RNA (468 nucleotides) under uncultured bacterium. RNAcentral describes it as "partial 16S ribosomal RNA". It matches the Rfam family "Bacterial small subunit ribosomal RNA", at positions 28 to 507 of the family's 1533-position model. The record is from RNAcentral.